CCCCUCUCAGGGUUGCACCUGGAGAGUUUCCGGUACUCUACCAGUCUUGAUUAUGGGAGGGAGAGUCAAACUGAGGCAGAUCCAUUCCAUUCCUAGCUUGGCCAGUGGCUAGCAAGUGGCAGAAAAUCUGCUACAAGU
This is a small nucleolar RNA of Ornithorhynchus anatinus (platypus), 138 nucleotides long. Lineage: Eukaryota; Metazoa; Chordata; Mammalia; Monotremata; Ornithorhynchidae. The record is from RefSeq and is a predicted model, not a curated record.